RNAcentral lists this ribosomal RNA (496 nucleotides) under uncultured bacterium. Its description in RNAcentral is "partial 16S ribosomal RNA". It matches the Rfam family "Bacterial small subunit ribosomal RNA", at positions 29 to 507 of the family's 1533-position model. The record is from RNAcentral.
AUGAACGCUGGCGGCGUGCCUAAUACAUGCCAGUCGAGCGAACAGACGAGGAGCCUGCUCCUCUGACGUUAGCGGCGGACGGGUGAGUAACACGUGGAUAACCUACCUAUAAGACUGGGAUAACUUCGGGAAACCGGAGCUAAUACCGGAUAAUAUAUUGAACCGCAUGGUUCAAUAGUGAAAGACGGUUUUGCUGUCACUUAUAGAUGGAUCCGCGCCGCAUUAGCUAGUUGGUAAGGUAACGGCUUACCAAGGCAACGAUGCGUAGCCGACCUGAGAGGGUGAUCGGCCACACUGGAACUGAGACACGGUCCAGACUCCUACGGGAGGCAGCAGUAGGGAAUCUUCCGCAAAGGGCGAAAGCCUGACGGAGCAACGCCGCGUGAGUGAUGAAGGUCUUCGGAUCGUAAAACUCUGUUAUUAGGGAAGAACAAAUGUGUAAGUAACUAUGCACGUCUUGACGGUACCUAAUCAGAAAGCCACGGCUAACUACGUG